This 467-nucleotide ribosomal RNA is filed under the name uncultured bacterium. RNAcentral's name for it is "partial 16S ribosomal RNA". It matches the Rfam family "Bacterial small subunit ribosomal RNA", at positions 28 to 507 of the family's 1533-position model. The record is from RNAcentral.
GACGAACGCUGGCGGCGUGCUUAACACAUGCCAGUCGAACGGAAAGGCCUCUUUCGGGGGGUACUCGAGUGGCGAACGGGUGAGUAACACGUGAGUAACCUGCCCUUGACUUUGGGAUAACUUCAGUAAACUGGGGCUAAUACCGGAUAGGAGCUCCUGCUGCAUGGUGGGGGUUGGAAAGUUUCGGCGGUUGGGGAUGGACUCGCGGCUUAUCAGCUUGUUGGUGGGGUAGUGGCUUACCAAGGCUUUGACGGGUAGCCGGCCUGAGAGGGUGACCGGCGACAUUGAGACUGAGAAGCGGACCAGACUCCUACGGGAGGCAGCAGUGGGGAAGUUUGAACAAUGGGUGGAAGCCUGAUGCAGCAACGCCGUGUGCGGGAUGACGGCCUUCGGGUUGUAAACCGCUUUCGCUCAUGACGAAGCUUUGUGUGACGGUAGUGGGUAAAGAAGCACCGGCUAACUACGUG